CCUACGGGCGGCAGCAGCAAGGAAUUUUGGGCAAUGGGCGAAAGCCUGACCCAGCAACGCCGCGUGGGGGAAGAAGGCCUUCGGGUUGUAAACCCCUUUUGUUGGGGAAGAUAAUGACGGUACCCAACGAAUAAGCCUCGGCUAACUACGUGCCAGCAGCCGCGGUAAUACGUAGGAGGCAAGCGUUGUCCGGAAUUACUGGGCGUAAAGCGCGCGCAGGCGGCCUGGGGAGUCCUCUGUGAAAUCUCCCGGCGCAACCGAGAGGAGUCAGGGGAUACUCCCAGGCACGAGGGCAGUAGAGGAAGGUGGAAUUCCCGGUGUAGGGGUGAAAUGCAUAGAUAUCGGGAGGAACACCAGUGGCGAGGGCGGCCUUCUGGGCUGUGCCUGACGCUGAGGCGCGAAGGCGGGGGGAGCAAACCGGAUUAGAUACCCGUGUAGU
RNAcentral lists this ribosomal RNA (439 nucleotides) under uncultured bacterium. Its description in RNAcentral is "partial 16S ribosomal RNA". It matches the Rfam family "Bacterial small subunit ribosomal RNA", at positions 338 to 794 of the family's 1533-position model. The record is from RNAcentral.